UUCAUACUCCCUUCUUCCAGAAUUACUUAUCACAUAAAUGGAUAAAAAUGGAUGUAUUUAGAACUAUAAUACAUCAAGAUACAUCCAUUUCUCCGACAAAUAAUUCCGGACGGAGGGAGUACUCG
This is a non-coding RNA of Triticum aestivum (bread wheat), 125 nucleotides long. The record is from Rfam. NCBI's taxonomy places the organism in Eukaryota, Viridiplantae, Streptophyta, Magnoliopsida, Poales, Poaceae.